Molecule: long non-coding RNA, 658 nt
Filed under: Rattus norvegicus (Norway rat)
Lineage: Eukaryota; Metazoa; Chordata; Mammalia; Rodentia; Muridae
Description: long non-coding RNA NONRATT004765
Source: RNAcentral
ACACACAAAGAAACACUGUCUGAAAAAAAAAAUGAAAAGAAACAAGAGACAGACAGACAGGCAGGCAGACAGACAGAUAGACAUGCAGACAGGCAGACAGAUGGGCAGACAGACAGACAGACAUUAUGGGAGGAAAUGAAAAGCAAGGCAACUGAAAAAGGAAGGCAGAAGAGAAGAGGGAGGUGAGAGGCACCUUGGGGACCGAAGCUGGCUCAGAGCACAGAGGCUGCAUACACCUCAAGUUGGAAGACGCCCAGUCGCUAUGGGGCAAGCUUCCACCUUAAGAGCUGUGGAACACCAACCAACAGGGAGCACCAAAAGCAAAAUACUGAGCUCUGGGUCUGAGUGGAUUUGGAAAAGCCAUGAAAUCAUUACCACCAUAACAAUAGAGCGUGGGGCUAGCAAGAUGGCUCAGCAAGUAACCGUACUUGGUGCCAAGCUUGAGAGUUUUCUUCCAGCCUUCACAUACAUUCUGUGGAACUGGCGCACGCAUGCACAUGCACACGCACACGCACAUGCUCAUGUGCGCACAAUGGGGUGGGUGUAUGCACGUGCCUGUGCUUUUGUGUAUCAGUGUGUGCCUAUGUGUGUGAGUAUAUGUGCAUGUGUAUAAGUGUAUGUGAGUGUGUGCAUUAAAAAGUAAACUGUGGACAACUCA